Non-coding RNA from Salmo salar (Atlantic salmon), 380 nucleotides. Lineage: Eukaryota; Metazoa; Chordata; Actinopteri; Salmoniformes; Salmonidae. The record is from RefSeq and is a predicted model, not a curated record.
CUGCUGUUGACUGGUGGUGAGGUGUGGUGCAGGUCUCCCUCUCUGCUGUUGACUGGUGGUGAGGUGUGGUGCAGGUGUCCCUCUCUGCUGUUGGCUGGUGGUGAGGUGCAGGUCUCCCUCUCUGCUGUUGGCUGGUGGUGAGGUGCAGGUCUCCCUCUCUGCUGUUGGCUGGUGGUGAGGUGCAGGUCUCCCUCUCUGCUGUUGGCUGGUGGUGAGGUGCAGGUCUCCCUCUCUGCUGUUGGCUGGUGGUGAGGUGCAGGUCUCCCUCUCUGCUGUUGGCUGGUGGUGAGGUGCAGGUCUCCCUCUCUGCUGUUGGCUGGUGGUGAGGUGCAGGUCUCCCUCUCUGCUGUUGGCUGGUGGUGAGGUGCAGGUCUCCCUCU